GGCCUCCAUCAUUCUGCAGCAUUGAAGGUCCCCAAGAACACAGUGGUCUCCAUCAUUCUGCAGCAUUGAAGGUCCCCAAGAACACAGUGGUCUCCAUCAUUCUGCAGCAUUGAAGGUCCCCAAGAACACAGUGGCCUCCAUCAUUCUGCAGCAUUGAAGGUCCCCAAGAACACAGUGGUCUCCAUCAUUCUGCAGCAUUGAAGGUCCCCAAGAACACAGUGGCCUCCAUCAUUCUGCAGCAUUGAAGGUCCCCAAGAACACAGUGGCCUCCAUCAUUCUGCAGCAUUGAAGGUCCCCAAGAACACAGUGGUCUCCAUCAUUCUGCAGCAUUGAAGGUCCCCAAGAACACAGUGGCCUCCAUCAUUCUGCAGCAUUGAAGGUCCCCAAGAACACAGUGGUCUCCAUCAUUCUGCAGCAUUGAAGGUCCCCAAGAACACAGUGGUCUCCAUCAUUCUGCAGCAUUGAAGGUCCCCAAGAACACAGUGGCCUCCAUCAUUCUGCAGCAUUGAAGGUCCCCAAGAACACAGUGGCCUCCAUCAUUCUGCAGCAUUGAAGGUCCCCAAGAACACAGUGGUCUCCAUCAUUCUGCAGCAUUGAAGGUCCCCAAGAACACAGUGGCCUCCAUCAUUCUGCAGCAUUGAAGGUCCCCAAGAACACAGUGGCCUCCAUCAUUCUGCAGCAUUGAAGGUCCCCAAGAACACAGUGGUCUCCAUCAUUCUGCAGCAUUGAAGGUCCCCAAGAACACAGUGGUCUCCAUCAUUCUGCAGCAUUGAAGGUCCCCAAGAACACAGUGGUCUCCAUCAUUCUGCAGCAUUGAAGGUCCCCAAGAACACAGUGGCCUCCAUCAUUCUGCAGCAUUGAAGGUCCCCAAGAACACAGUGGUCUCCAUCAUUCUGCAGCAUUGAAGGUCCCCAAGAACACAGUGGCCUCCAUCAUUCUGCAGCAUUGAAGGUCCCCAAGAACACAGUGGUCUCCAUCAUUCUGCAGCAUUGAAGGUCCCCAAGAACACAGUGGCCUCCAUCAUUCUGCAGCAUUGAAGGUCCCCAAGAACACAGUGGCCUCCAUCAUUCUGCAGCAUUAAAGGUCCCCAAGAACACAGUGGCCUCCAUCAUUCUGCAGCAUUAAAGGUCCCCAAGAACACAGUGGCCUCCAUCAUUCUGCAGCAUUGAAGGUCCCCAAGAACACAGUGGUCUCCAUCAUUCUGCAGCAUUGAAGGUCCCCAAGAACACAGUGG
Molecule: long non-coding RNA, 1234 nt
Organism: Oncorhynchus keta (chum salmon)
Lineage: Eukaryota; Metazoa; Chordata; Actinopteri; Salmoniformes; Salmonidae
Exons: 7
Source: RefSeq, a predicted model, not a curated record